RNAcentral lists this ribosomal RNA (200 nucleotides) under uncultured prokaryote. RNAcentral describes it as "partial 16S ribosomal RNA". It matches the Rfam family "Bacterial small subunit ribosomal RNA", at positions 1183 to 1382 of the family's 1533-position model. The record is from RNAcentral.
CGUCAAAUCAUCAUGCCCCUUAUGGCCUGGGCUACACACGUGCUACAAUGGCGGCGACAGAGGGAGGCGAGCCCGCGAGGGGGAGCGAACCCCAAAAAAGCCGCCCCAGUUCGGAUUGCAGUCUGCAACUCGACUGCAUGAAGCCGGAAUCGCUAGUAAUCGCGGAUCAGAAUGCCGCGGUGAAUACGUUCCCGGGUCUU